This is a long non-coding RNA of Etheostoma spectabile (orangethroat darter), 131 nucleotides long. RefSeq lists it as uncharacterized. Lineage: Eukaryota; Metazoa; Chordata; Actinopteri; Perciformes; Percidae. The record is from RefSeq and is a predicted model, not a curated record. The transcript has 3 exons.
AGCCAAUGGGUUCCGAGAUUGUAUUUCAGCAAAUGUGUUUUGCCUCUUUUGCCCUCCACACAGACUGUUUACCUGCAUGCAACCAAAGCCUGCUCAAAUGUGAUUGGUCAACAUACUACUCAGACUACAAA